GGAGGGGUACCCGAGUGGCCAAAGGGGGCAGACUGUAAAUCUGCUGGCUGACGCCUUCGCUGGUUCGAAUCCAGCCCCCUCCA
This 83-nucleotide transfer RNA is filed under the name Thermodesulfitimonas autotrophica. It matches the Rfam family "tRNA". From Rfam's summary of the family: Transfer RNA (tRNA) molecules are approximately 80 nucleotides in length. The record is from Rfam by way of RNAcentral. Lineage: Bacteria; Bacillati; Bacillota; Clostridia; Thermoanaerobacterales; Thermoanaerobacteraceae.